GCCGGGCAUGGUGGCUCAUGCCUGUAAUCCCAGCACCUUGGGAGGCCGAGGCGGGUGGAUCACCUGAGGUCAGGAGUUCAAGACCAGCCUGGCCAACAUGGUGAAACCCCGUCUCUG
Molecule: signal recognition particle RNA, 117 nt
Filed under: Nomascus leucogenys (northern white-cheeked gibbon)
Lineage: Eukaryota; Metazoa; Chordata; Mammalia; Primates; Hylobatidae
Description: Metazoan signal recognition particle RNA
Rfam family: Metazoan signal recognition particle RNA
About the family: The signal recognition particle (SRP) is a universally conserved ribonucleoprotein.
Source: Rfam by way of RNAcentral